RNAcentral lists this long non-coding RNA (7876 nucleotides) under Lynx pardinus (Iberian lynx). Lineage: Eukaryota; Metazoa; Chordata; Mammalia; Carnivora; Felidae. The record is from RNAcentral.
CAGCAAUGUAAGUAAAAAUGAUAGAUUUAUAACUAGCUUAUUGUAACAUAUUAGCUAGAAGCAGUAUGAGUCAUAAUGUGAUAUUAGUGUCUAAUGUACCUAUAACUGAAGGCUCGCAUGAAGAGCUAGCCUAUCUCAGACUUAGUGGCAUCAAUAUUAAUUAAGAUUCUUAGAAGCUAACCAGAUGUUGCCUGCUAUCUCUUAGGAAAAAAGUUAAUGCAAAAUGAAUUCUAUACUGACAAUCCAUUUCUUUGGAAAUGGUAUUUAAAAUUAUUAGUAUUAGCUUCCUAACAAACUAGCUGUUUUAAAAAUAUUUGCAAAGCAUCUUAUACACAAAAUUGUGUCACUUUCAUUCAUUAGAAUGUUUAUUCUGUUGUACACUACAAAUAAUAGUUUAUAAUAAUAGCUAACAUUUAUUGAGCACUGUCAAUGUGCCAGACUUUAUAUAUAUUCCAUUUAACCUUUUCAACAACUUACAUGAUAUAUAGUUAUUAUCUUUAUUUUAUAGGUGAGGAAACAGAGGCACAAAGAGGUUGUCCUGGGGCACCUGGGUGGCUCAUUUGGUUAAGUGUCCGACUUCAGGUCAGGUCAUGAUCUCGCAGUUUGUGAGUUCAAGCCGCAUGUCGGGUUCUGUGCUGACAGCUCAGAGCCUGGAGCCUGCUUCAGAUUGUGUCUCCCUCUCUCUCUGCCCCUCCCCCGCUCACGCUCUAUCUCUGUCUCUCAAAAAUAAAUCAACAUUUAAAAAAAUGUAAAUACCUUGUCCCAGAAUUACCUAAGAGGCAAAGCCAGGAUAACCUGAGUAGUCUGGUGCUAGAGACGGUGCUUUGCUCACUCACAAUAGUGAUCUGUGAUUUUCAGGUUUCUCUAUUGGUCAAAGGUUUUAGAUCCCAUUAAACAGGAAGGAUAUAAUAUAUAUACAUAUACACACAUACUUAUAGGACUAAACAUUUUAUACAAUUUCUGGUCCAUGGAAAUCCAACAGAAACUAUUAGAAGACAGUCAUACAUCUGGCAGAGAACAUAUGCAUUUAGUAUAUGACAGUCUCAUCCAUGAACUUCAGGUAACUAAGGCGUGCUGGGAAUAGCUUUGUGUUGCUGGAUUCUAGUAAAGAUCAUCACAUGUUUUUCUUUUUUUAAUGUUUGUUUUGAGAGAGUGGGAGCAGGGGAAGGGCAGCGAGAGAGGGGGAGAGAGAGAGAGAGAGAAUAUGAAUCCCAAGCAGGCUCCAUGCUAUCAGUAUAGAGCCCGACAUGGGGUUCAGUCCCACCAACCAUGAAAUCACGACCUGAGCCAAAAUCAAGAGUCAGACACUUAACUGUCUGAGCCACCCAGGUGCCCCAAGAUCAUCACACAUUAGGCAUGUUCUUCUGAGUCUUUAACUUGAGUAGUACUUUCAAAAUACUUGAAAGAAUGAAAGUUGACCUACCACUCAACUUCCUUUUCAGUGGAAAGCAGUGGAGGGAAAAGACAAAGAAAUGAAACUGGACUUCACCUUUGAGGCAUUUCCCUGGGUUCUUUUGACUGUGUUUUGGGCAGUUUCUUCGUGAUCUCACCCAUUCCUUGGCUUUAGUUCUCACCUUAGUGUAGUACUGUAUAUGGUUUCCAAAUCAAUUUGUGACCUUCUCCUGAGCUGUAAACCCACAAGCUCAGCUGCCAUAUAUUGUCCCCCAAGUGUGCUGAUUUUUAUUGUUCCCCCCCCCAAAUUCUUCCUCAUUUCUGUUUUUUCUAGGGAUUACACUCAUCCAGUGAUAAGACUCAAAACCUCAAAUUUCUGUCCCUUUUUGUGGCCCCAUACCCAACUGCUGCCAGGUUAGAUCACUUCCGAAAAUGUUUACCUCUCCUUUCCAUGACCCCUGCACUAGUUUAUUCCUUCAUUACCUCUCAUCCAUAUUAUCCUCCCUAUGGUAACCUGCCUCUCUGCCCCUUGCUCCCUUUCCCCUACAGCCUGUUCUGCUACUGGACAAAUUAUGCUUAAGAAGGUAUCACUCUACCACGUUCACAGUAAAAUCAAAUUUAUACUGACAUUCAGAACUCUCCCUCAUGUGACCACAGCUUUCCUUGUCCUUGUGCCUCAGUCCAGAUUAUGUACCAUUCUUCAGGCACAUUCCUCAGAGAGAAUCUUUCUCAUUCCCUUAUCUUUGUUCCUGUCUCCUUUGCUUGACAUACGUUUUUCCCAUCAUUGUCAAAAACUUACCCGUAUUUCAAAACCUUCUUAUAACUCACCUUACAUUAGGCUUCCUCAGGUCUCUCUUCCAUGUUCUCUCAUUUUGGCCUGUGCCCUAGAAACCUCUGACAGUCACAGUACUCCUGAUACCGUUGUGGCCAGCUUCCCUGUCUGCACAUCAGCUCCUGCCCUUUCACACUUCAGUGAUUAUUCCUCCUGACCUCUAUUAUUUACUGGGGGAAAUAACCCAUACAGAUUCACUCCCAGAGCCUUUAACAAACAAAGCCUUUAUAAAAUCAUGUUAGAAUAAGAGAUACUGUGAGUAAGAGAGGCAGCAACCUAUGGGUCACAGACGUACAAAGACCAGCAAAGGGAUGGUGGAAGCAUGGUGUGGGUUAAAUAGUAAUAGGUGAUACUGCAGGAGAUAUUGGGAUACUUCAUCUAGAAACAAUUGGAUAAAUCAUUUGGUGAACAAAAGUAUAUGGCUUAGUAUAAACAAAGCACUUGCAUAAUGCCAACCUUUUAAAACCUAGUAGUCAAGCUAAAGAUACAAGAUUAAUAUUAUACACAUAAAAUGAUAAUAAUAUAAGGCAAACUAUAAUAAGCAGUACAAAUUCAGACCUCUCUCCCCUCUUCUUUCCAGGAUUCUGACCAAUAGCAAGUACAAAAAGGGACUAGGAGUCCAAUGAGGAUCCAAGUAUCAACUUAAUUAGUUGGAGGAAUUGAUAACCUCCAACAUGGCAGAUCCUCUGGCAGAAACUUGGGGUAACUAAUAUAGAUUGUGCCUAAGGCAGAAAUGGAACCUCCUGUCUCCCACACUGAGUCUAAAUCUUGAACCCUGUGAAUCUAAACCUUGAACCUGAGGAGAAAGCCGGAACUUUGAAAUAGACCUGCCUAUGCUUUAUUGCAGAUGAGAUAGAUAAAAUGGGCUGGUCUCUUUACAACAUGAAAUUAGGAAGCACAAAGAUGCAUUGGACUUGAGAGUAGACAGUGAUGGGAAAGAGUGUUGUGUAAAAAGAGUGACAUAUAAUAUUACUGGCAAAAUGUGGGCCAAUGUUCUGGACUUUGGCCAGUCAAGUUUGUCACUCCUCCAUGGAGUAUAGAGAGCAGAAUAAUUGACAGUUCCUUCCUCUUCAGACCAAGGAGUAUAAACUAAGAACCAAAUGAAGAAUAAGCAAUAGUAUAGGAAUACACAACAGACAUAGAUCACCUCAGGAUGGAGUGAUUAGGUUGUUAUUUAAGAGUUCAUUCUUUGAAAAUCAAUUCUAGUUAUUUCACUCUACAUUAUGUCUGACAGAGGACCUUCCAGACCCUAGUAAUGGAAACUUUGUGCUUUACUAAGAAGCUUGAAUUUGAAAAAUGGGUAAUUUUGAUGGGCUGUAUAAACAUACGAGGCAGAGAGAACAACAUGAACAAAAAGGCAGAAAAGCAGAACGAUUGAACAGUAGGUUCAACCACAUCAUUGACAGUUAUGAUCACUAGGGUUAAUAAGUUCAGACUUUAUUCAUUAGGCAGAAGUGGACCAGUGAAGAUUAUUGUUUAGGGAAGUAACAAUCCAAAAUAUAUUUUAGAGAGAAUAUAGUUGUUAUACGAAGGAUGAAUUCUGUCAAAAUACUGCUCAUGAACUGCAUCACUAUGUCUAACUUGUAUUUCGUUUGUGUUCUGAGAUAAUUCAUCUCCAGAGCCAGUAUGGCAGUGUAGAGAUAAUACACAUGCUAUGCUCCCUUCUAGCAGUCAUGAUUAAUCGAUGAAACUUCUCUGCAUGGUCUGGCAUUAUAACAGAGGACAGAAUUUGGAUUACACGUCCCGCACCAGCUAUGCUACCUACUUAGCUCUGUGGCCUUAAGUAAGGCACUUGGUUUCCCUAAAUCUUAAUUAUAAAAUGGGACUGAUAAUAUCUACCUUGUGAGAUUGUACAGAAUAAGCUUAACUAGCACCUCCCCCAUAGUAACUAUUUAAUGAUAGUCUUCCUUUCCUGAAUGGUAUUGUCAUUAGUUCUGAUAACUAUGUAUCAAUAACCUACAGGGAUAUUAAGUCAAUACUAGAGUGCUUAAAAUCUUCUAUAGGAAUUCAGACCAGACUCAAGUUGGCAAGAGUUGGUUGUUAAGUUGGCAACCUACAUUCUUCUAGGACAAGAAUAUAUGUGGACUCCCAUGAAUAGGGAAAUAUAGGGGACUACCAUGCAUUACUUCUUCAUGGCUGCCGGUGUAAGCAUGAAUGGGGUAUUUCAGGAAUCAAAGGUCCACAUACCCUAUGGGAAAUGUGUCAUCACUUGCCAAUAGCUGCUCUUGUCAAAGACGUCCUCUCACACAAAGGUCCUAAGCCAAAUGACAAGAACUUCUGCCACCACUAGGAGUCCCCAGAGGACACUCGCCGAAUAGGAAUGUCAGUAAAUACAGUCUCUUUUUUUGGGGGGCAGCUGUUGGAGGAAACACCUGCUGAAAGGCCCUUAAGGCUUACAGACAAAAGGCAUGUAGAUUUUGGUGUUUUCAGCAAGUAGAUCAUGUAGGAGUUUCAGAAAUCUCUCAGAAGUAUCUCAGAUAAAUCUUCACAUAAAGUGAAGAGUGUGAUGUCUGAGUAAUCAUACUGACAAUUAUUUGUGAAGGUGAAUGUUGCUUAGAAGAUUCAAAAAUAAGCAAAUGAGAGAUUGCCAAUAUCUAAACUAGGUACCAAAUUACAUGGUAAAUGGGUGUUUAAAUCGUGUCUUAAGUAGUGUAUGAGAUGCAUGUUAAUUUGGAAACUAAUUCUUGAUUUAACAAUCAUCUUUUAUAUCCUGCAGACAUUUAGAAGAAAUGCACUUACUAUGGACACCAACUUCUUCUGCAUCUGCCUGAUCAUAUUUAAAGGAACAGAAGAAAUGUUUGUAAUUAAUCUGCCCAGUAAAUACCAGAUCAUAGCACUAGGCAGGUGUGUGUCUAGAUAAAAUUUCUUGCAGCUAAUUUAAACUUUCUACACACAGCAGUAGAUAAUCUCAAUGUAAAUAAUACAUUUCUUCUUGACCCUUUAAUGUAAGCCAACAUGUAGAACAAGAUCUUGACUUCAAUUCUGUAUCACAUACACUUCUGUAUACUUUUAGCAUUUGUGGAUAGACUUAGAACAUUUAUGAAAAUGGCACCUUUGGUAAAACUGUAUGUUUUAAAGCUCAGAUUAAAUCUAAUGGUGAGUGGAAUUAGGUACCACUUUCCCAUUUAAAGCCCCAGAUGUGUAUUUAUUAGAUUUUUUUACACUUACAGAAUUUUUCAAGAAGUUUAUUGUAUAGCCACUGUCUCGGGGACGAGUCUUUAUUAUAUUCUAGUUAUUCCUAUGUUUGUGCAGAAAAACUAUUUCAAUGUUUAAAAAUUUUUAUACCUUUUAUAGAAUAGUGGAAUGCAUUUUUCAGUACAUUUUAAAAUAUGAAGUUGUUCUUAAACUGAACUACACACUGUACUGAAUUGAAAGGACCUUUCUUAUGGGUCAGGAAUCAUUUUGAUUCCUUCCAAAUGAUUUUGAAACAUUAUUUUAAAUUUCUAUUUUUCUGUGGUGUUAUUUUGUAUUAUAAUCAUCUGUACUCUCACGAAACAAGGGGAAGAGGGUAUCACAGGAUGUGUUAUAACUUGAUAACACGGUUUUUUAAAACUUCUGUAUUUUUCUUUGACCACUUCUGCAGGGGAAGAAAUGCUAUUCCCUUGGUACUUGCCCUAAGUCUCGAUAAAAUUUGUGGAAGAUACUACUGUAUCAUGAAAUAAAAAUACUGUAUGAAAAUCUGAAACAAAAUUUAACUUGUUUGAAAAUAACUGAUUUUCCAUUUAGAGAAAUUUCAGAUUUACUUCUUAAAAUGAAAAUGGGUUUUAAGAACUAUUAAAUGACAUAGAUACUAAAUAGUAACCCAAUUAACUAUUAAACCUAAUUGCCUUCACUAAUGACUUUAUUGGUACUAUUUAAAUAAGACUUUUAAGAUAAUCUGCUAAAUAUUAAGAACACUUUGUGUUACAGUCCUUGUAAUAGGAUAUUACUGAAAAUAUACCAAAAAGAAUAAUUCUUUUUGUGUUCUAGCACUGAAAACUAACCUUAGGAUGUAAAUAAAGCCAAAGCAUAUAAAGAAACUUACAUUAGUCAGGAAUUAAAGGGUUAAGAAGUAGUUUGGUUUCAUAUGUAAUGCAAGUUAUGUAGGUAUGUACUUAAUGCUAUUAAAUCAGUUACUGUAUGUUUGACCUCUUGAUAUACUAAGCUUUUGCCUUUCAGAACAGCUGGGUCUGCUAAGAAUCAUUUCCCAGUCCUCUUCAUUGUAGAUCAGAUGACUCUCGCUUUAUCACCCUUGGAGGCCACAUGAAGGACAAAGCAGAAAGAUCCACACACAAAACUAAUGUUUAUAUGGGGGGAGGGGGUGCGGCAUGGAGGAAGGCGGGGGAUACACUUGGCCCUGAUCUUCCAAUGAACAUAACAGAAGAGAGACCAAUUGAGACUUGAAACCCCUGUGUUAACUCCAGCCAUUAUUUAGUUACAUCCUAUCCAUCUUUUACUCUUUCUAUUGAACAGAGAGGCUCCUUUGGCUGCCCUGACUUUUGUAAAUGUUUCACUCACUUAGUUGUGGUUUAUCAUUUGGACAGAAUGCUACAUCUGGGAUUUUUCUCCCCUCCUUAAGGCCUCAAAGGAAAAUGGCUUCUGUAUGCUUCAUAUUUGAUACAUGAACAUGCACCCUGUUCUCUUCAUUUUAAGAAGCAAACCUAAGUUUAUUGGCAACAGAGAAAACUGCAUUUCUCAGAAAGGGCCCUUCCCUCUAAAAUGAACUUGAAAAUAACUUAGAAGGGUUCAUUUUUUUGACAGAUUAGUGAAGUGAGAAAUCUUUAAUAUUUUUGCAUUACCUAAAUAUCUUUAUAUUUAGAUAUCCAAGUAAUCCUGUCACUGAAAUACUUUAGAAUUGCCUAUUUCUGUGUUUUUAAUUCAUCACUGGACAUUUUUGGUAUUUUGUUUUUGUUUUUUAAUGUUUAUUUUUGAGAGAGAGAAAACAAAGCAGGUGAGUGGCACAGAGAGAGGAAGACACAGAAUCUGAAGCAGGCUCCAGGCUCUGAGCUGUCAGCACAAAGCCCAACACAGGGCUUGAACCCAUGACCAUUAGAAGUCAGACGCUUAACCAACUGAGCCAUCCAGGUGCCCCCAUUUUUGGUAUUUUGGAACCUAAUCCAAGUUCAGAGUGGACUCUUCUUAAAUUGGUUUCUAACAGAUAGUUAAGACAUACUUAUAAUUGCUACAAGUCUCCAUAAAAGCUACAAUGUUAACUCAAUAUGACUAGGUUAAAUCAUCUAGAAAAUGUAUAAAGAAUUUGCCCAUAACAUCCUUUGAAUAUGUACAUAGUCUAUUAAUAUUUACAUACUUUUUCAAAUAAUGUUUCUCUGUUCCAGUUAUUUAGAACUUCCUCAUCGAUUUAAAUCAACAUCCUGUGUUAAACCUAUGUAUGCUAUUCCAAAAAAUAAAAAAUAAAAAAAUAGGACUACACCAGCCAGCCAAGAUGCUGACAUUUGGGCACAGUGAUUACAGAUGGUGACCAUGGACAGCAGUGUUCCUGCUGAUUCGGCAGUGAUUCAAGGCUGCUUUUCUGUGCUGACCUGCCCUUUGAGUCUUUAUGCACAUUUGCUUCGAAAAAGAAAUACUUCCUGAUUUUUGCUUUGUCUAAAUCUAUUUACUUCCUUUAUCAGACUUAGAAGUACAUACCUUCUUGUAUCAGCCUGUGGCUGUCCA